Triticum dicoccoides is the source of this 1142-nucleotide RNA transcript. It is a transcript of the gene named disease resistance protein Pik-2-like, with no coding region annotated. The record is from RefSeq and is a predicted model, not a curated record. The transcript has 2 exons. Lineage: Eukaryota; Viridiplantae; Streptophyta; Magnoliopsida; Poales; Poaceae.
AACGCUCGGUCGGUCGCCUCGCUCGCGUCGCUAGGCACCCAGGCCCACCACCCACAAAGCUUAUCUCUCUAUCCCCACCGCUUUCAUCUUAUCCCCUCGUAGUCUCUGGAGACAACACGAAGACGUCUUCGUGCUGCUCGUCCUUGAAUCCCCUCGUCCACAAUCUCUCUUCCCUCUCCUUUGUGUGCUCUCUCCAGGAAUUCACACACAAUCCUCAUGAAAUUGAGCUUGUUUUUGUUGCUUCUCUACUCCCCGCAACAUUUCCACCAUAGAUCCAUGAGAGGGGAUGAGUUCGUUGGUGUCUUUUGUUUUUUCAUUCAUGGCCUGCGCAGUUGCCAUGGAUCCCACGAGGUUGAGCUCAAAUACAUGUGGGACACACACCCUCUCCUCCUGGGAAAGGAGGUUGAUGUUCUCUCUUGCCGUUCAUCUUUUGGAGCUGCCAGCAAUGGGCACGACGACCGCGCUGCUAGAUCAGGCACCGCUGCAUCACCAUGGUGCGCGACGGCGGCGACCGGCGCCUGCUGAGGAAGCGAUGUGGGAACCAGCACGCCUCGUAGCUGGAACCAGCCAACUGGGAAGCUGCAACCGGCAUCCCCUGAUGCUGGAAGGUGGAAGCAGUGUCCCCUGAUGCUUGAACCGGAUGCGCCUUCACCACGCGAUGCGUUUUUGGCUGGAAGCAAUGUUUGUUUUUGCUGAUUUUUUUUUCCAUGGCAGUGUAAGUCGAUGAGCCGGCGACGGGGGCAUCGGGGAUGUUACAACCAUGUCGACCGUGCUGUGGAACCCGCCUAUGUUCGAGCUGCAACCAUGCCGAGCGGAGGCAGCCGAGGCGAGUGGCACGAGCGGCCGGUGAGCGCGGUGGCACGAAUGACCGGCAAGCAUGAGAAGCCGAGGACAAGUGCGGGCGGCUGGUGGGCGCGUGUGGAGUCCGGCCGAGAAGCACGCCUAACUACCUUUUUCCUGCAUGUUUGACUUUUGGGGACGAAGAAAAAAACUAUAUCGUACGGUUAAAAAUGGCUGUAUCGUACGCUCGACAACCGACCGGCCUAAAUUUGGGCCGGCGCCGGCGCGCCUAGCGCCGUCCUUUUUUAAUGUUCGAAAGAGAUAUUUCCGAGUUUUUUUUUAAAAAAAAUCAUGUGAACCUC